CAGUAGCCGCGGUAAUACGAAGGGGGCUAGCGUUGCUCGGAAUCACUGGGCGUAAAGGGUGCGUAGGCGGGUUUUUAAGUCAGGGGUGAAAUCCUGGAGCUCAACUCCAGAACUGCCCUUGAUACUGGGAAUCUUGAGUAUGGGAGAGGUGAGUGGAACUGCGAGUGUAGAGGUGAAAUUCGUAGAUAUUCGCAAGAACACCAGUGGCGAAGGCGGCUCACUGGCCCAUAACUGACGCUGAGGCACGAAAGCGUGGGGAGCAAACAGGAUUAGAUACCCCAGUAGUCCCUGUCUCUUAUAC
Molecule: ribosomal RNA, 301 nt
Filed under: uncultured bacterium
Lineage: Bacteria
Description: partial 16S ribosomal RNA
Rfam family: Bacterial small subunit ribosomal RNA
Source: RNAcentral